RNAcentral lists this ribosomal RNA (492 nucleotides) under uncultured bacterium. Its description in RNAcentral is "partial 16S ribosomal RNA". It matches the Rfam family "Bacterial small subunit ribosomal RNA", at positions 29 to 507 of the family's 1533-position model. The record is from RNAcentral.
AGUGAACGCUGGCGGUAGGCCUAACACAUGCAAGUCGAACGGCAGCACAGUAAGAGCUUGCUCUUACGGGUGGCGAGUGGCGGACGGGUGAGGAAUACAUCGGAAUCUACUUUUUCGUGGGGGAUAACGUAGGGAAACUUACGCUAAUACCGCAUACGACCUACGGGUGAAAGCACGGGAUCUUCGGACCUUGCGCGAUUGAAUGAGCCGAUGUCGGAUUAGCUAGUUGGCGGGGUAAAGGCCCACCAAGGCGACGAUCCGUAGCUGGUCUGAGAGGAUGAUCAGCCACACUGGAACUGAGACACGGUCCAGACUCCUACGGGAGGCAGCAGUGGGGAAUAUUGGACAAUGGGCGCAAGCCUGAUCCGGCCAUACCGCGUGGGUGAAGAAGGCCUUCGGGUUGUAAAGCCCUUUUGUUGGGAAAGAAAAGCAGCAGGUUAAUACCCCGCUGUUCUGACGGUACCCAAAGAAUAAGCACCGGCUAACUUCGUG